Molecule: ribosomal RNA, 243 nt
Filed under: bacterium enrichment culture clone ALO1_GLFRUDD03HE1V3
Lineage: Bacteria
Description: partial 16S ribosomal RNA
Rfam family: Bacterial small subunit ribosomal RNA
Source: RNAcentral
GAGUUUGAUCUUGGCUCAGAUUGAACGCUGGCGGCAUGCCUUACACAUGCAAGUCGAACGGCAGCACGGGAGCUUGCUCCUGGUGGCGAGUGGCGAACGGGUGAGUAAUGCAUCGGAACGUAGUCCUGGACGUGGGGGAUAACGUAGCGAAAGUUACGCUAAUACCGCAUAUUCUGUGAGCUAGGAAAGCGGGGGACCUUCGGGCCUACGCGCUCUUGGAGCGGCCGAUGUCGGAUUAGCUAG